Molecule: transfer RNA, 77 nt
Filed under: Chloroflexota bacterium
Lineage: Bacteria; Bacillati; Chloroflexota
Description: Chloroflexi bacterium tRNA-Val
Rfam family: tRNA
About the family: Transfer RNA (tRNA) molecules are approximately 80 nucleotides in length. Their secondary structure includes four short double-helical elements and three loops (D, anti-codon, and T loops).
Source: RNAcentral
GGGCAAUUAGCUCAGGCGGCUAGAGCGCAGCGUUGACAUCGCUGAGGUCACAGGUUCAAGUCCUGUAUUGCCCACUA